Molecule: non-coding RNA, 46 nt
Organism: Anas platyrhynchos (mallard)
Lineage: Eukaryota; Metazoa; Chordata; Aves; Anseriformes; Anatidae
Source: Rfam
ACAAAGGCUCUUUUCAGAGCCACCUAAGCUUUCAAGAGAAGGGCGU